AGUUCGGAUCCUGCUCAGAUUGAACGCUGGCGGGAUGCUUUACAUGCAAGUCGAACGGCACGGACUUGUCCAGUAAGGAGUAUGUGAACGGGUGAGUAAUGUAUCGGAACGUGCCUAGUAGCGGGGGAUAACUACGCGAAAGCGUAGCUAAUACCGCAAUACCCUUCUGGGGAAAGCGGGGACUCCUUGGGCCCUCGCACUAUUAGGAGCGGUCGAUAUCGAUUAGCUAGUUGGUGGGGUAACGGUCACUCAAGGCGACGAUCCGUAGCUGGUUUGAGAGGACGACCAGCCACACUGGGACUGAGAUGGCGCCCAGACUCCUACGGGAGGCAGCAGUGGGGAAUUUUGACAAUGGGGGAAACCCCAGAUCCAGCCAUCCCGCGUGUGCGAUGAAGGCUUUCUGCCAGGAAGCACUUUUGGCAGGAAAAGAAACGGCACGGGAUAAUACCCCGUGCAACUGACGGUACCUGCAGAAUAAGCACCGGCUAACUACAUGCGCCAGCAGCCGCGGUAAUACGUAGGUGCAAGCGUUAAUCGGAAUUACCGGGCGCAAAGCGUGCGCAGGCGGUUCGGAAAGAAAGAUGUGAAAUCCCAGAGCUUAACUUUGGAACUGCAUUUUUAACUACCGAGCUAGAGUGUGUCAGAGGGAGGUGGAAUUCAUGUGUAGCAGUGAAAUGCGUGGAUAUGCGGAGGAACAAUUGAUGGCAGCGCAGCCUCCUGAUAACACUGACGCUCAAGUGCACGAAAGCGUGGGGAGCAAACAGGAUUAGAUACCCCAGUAGUCCGGCCGCCCUAAACGAUGUCAACUAGCUGGGUUGGGCCUUCGGGCCUUGGUAGCGCAGCUAACGCGGUGAAGUUGACCGCCUGGGAGCAUGGUCGCAAGAUUAAAACUCAAAGGAAUUGACGGGACCCGCACAAGCGGUGGAUGAUGGGAUUAAUUCGAUGCAACGCGAAAACCUUACCUACCCUUGACAUGUCUGGAAUCCCGAAGAGAUUUGGGGGAGUGCUCGCAAGAGAACCGGAACACAGGUGCUGCAUGGCUGUCGUCAGCUCGUGUCGAGAUGUUGGGUUAAGUCCCGCAACGAGCAACCUCUUUGUCAUUAGUUACAUGAAAGGGCACUCUAAUGAGACUGCCGGUGACAAACCGGAGGAAGGUGGGGAUGACGUCAAGUCCUCAUGGCCCUUAUGGGUAGGCUUCACACGUCAUACAAUGGUCGGGACAGAGGGUCGCCAACCCGCGAGGGGGAGCCAAUCCCAGAAACCCGAUCGUAGUCCGAUCGCAGUCUGCAACUCGACUGCGUGAAGUCGGAAUCGCUAGUAAUCGCGGAUCAGCAUGUCGCGGUGAAUACGUUCCCGGGUCUUGUACACACCGCCCGUCACACCAUGGCGAGAGACAUGGCGCACACAAUACAGGUCAUUGGGGGAGAAGGGAGUGGGUUUUACCAGAAGUAGUUAGCCUAACCGUAAGUGGCGAUUACUACGGUAGGAUUCAUGACUGGGGUGAAGUCGUAACAAGGUAA
Molecule: ribosomal RNA, 1520 nt
Filed under: uncultured Bordetella sp.
Lineage: Bacteria; Pseudomonadati; Pseudomonadota; Betaproteobacteria; Burkholderiales; Alcaligenaceae
Description: partial 16S-23S ribosomal RNA intergenic spacer
Rfam family: Bacterial small subunit ribosomal RNA
Source: RNAcentral